AGAGUUUGAUCAUGGCUCAGAUUGAACGCUGGCGGUAGGCUUAACACAUGCAAGUCGUGCGAGAAAGUAUCUUCGGAUAUGAGUAGAGCGGCGGACGGGUGAGUAACGCGUAGGAAUCUACCUAGUAGAAGGGGAUAGCCCGGGGAAACCCGGAUUAAUACCGUAUACCUCCUUCGGGAGAAAGAAGGCCUCUCUUUGAAGCUUUCGCUACUAGAUGAGCCUGCGUAAGAUUAGCUUGUUGGUGAGGUAAAGGCUCACCAAGGCGACGAUCUUUAGCUGGUCUGAGAGGACGAUCAGCCACAUUGGGACUGAGACACGGCCCAGACUCCUACGGGAGGCAGCAGUGGGGAAUAUUGGACAAUGGGCGCAAGCCUGAUCCAGCCAUACCGCGUGUGUGAAGAAGGCCUUCGGGUUGUAAAGCACUUUAAGCAGGGAGAAAAAGUUAUAAGUUAAUACCUUAUAACCCUGAUGUUACCUGCAGAAUAAGCACCGGCUAAUUCCGUGCCAGCAGCCGCGGUAAUACGGAAGGUGCAAGCGUUAAUCGGAAUUACUGGGCGUAAAGCGCGCGUAGGUGGUUUGUUAAGUUGGAUGUGAAAGCCCUGGGCUCAACCUAGGAACUGCAUCCAAAACUAACUCACUAGAGUACGAUA
This 650-nucleotide ribosomal RNA is filed under the name uncultured bacterium. Its description in RNAcentral is "bacterial SSU rRNA". It matches the Rfam family "Bacterial small subunit ribosomal RNA", at positions 8 to 653 of the family's 1533-position model. The record is from RNAcentral.